Molecule: long non-coding RNA, 730 nt
Filed under: Homo sapiens (human)
Lineage: Eukaryota; Metazoa; Chordata; Mammalia; Primates; Hominidae
Description: HSALNT0355191
Source: RNAcentral
UGAAGACGCAGGGAGAAUGUGACAUCUGCAAGCCAAGGAGAGAGGCUGCAGGAGAAACCAGCUCUGCUGACACUUUGAUCUCAAGCUCUGGCCACCAGAACUGUGAGCAAAUAAGUGUCUGUUGUUUAGGGCACCCUGUCCAUGGCACCUUGCUCCGAUAGCCCCAGGAAACGAAUCCACAGAGGAGGAAGCCGAGGUUGGGAAAGGUGGAGGGACUUGCCCAAGUCACACAAACGACAACUCAGCAGAGCUGAGAAUUGGCACCCAGGGCAACUGGAGUCCAUCCUGAGCUUGUCACUGCUGGGCUCUGAGACCUCCUGGUGAAGAAGGACAGUGGCAGAGACAGCCCGACCCAGAGAAACCCAGCAACGCUACUUUCUAAGGGCAUUUUUCCCUCUCAUUUGGAAUCCUGAGCCUCCUGCUCGUCCUGUAGGCCACACCCAGCAAACAGGUGGGUUUCAUUUCCUGGAGAAACCACAGAUGGAAAGUCCCAGCCAUGGGCUCCGUGUGACCUGGUGGCCUUAAGAAGCUCCCCCCACCGCCCCUCAGCCCUUUAAUCAUUUACAAAGCAGGGCCACACAGAGCAUCUAUUUUCUUUCUGGAACAUCAGAGCUGGCUGGGAACUGGGAGAAGAGCUGGAGCAACAGCCUGCAUCCAUUUCCUCUUGCUGCAAUAACAACUGAUCACAAGAUGGAGUCUCACUCUGUCAACCAGGCUGGAGUGCACUGGC